RNAcentral lists this ribosomal RNA (458 nucleotides) under uncultured bacterium. RNAcentral's name for it is "bacterial SSU rRNA". It matches the Rfam family "Bacterial small subunit ribosomal RNA", at positions 29 to 524 of the family's 1533-position model. The record is from RNAcentral.
AACGAACGCUGGCGGCAUGCCUAACACAUGCAAGUCGAACGGGAUCCUAGCUUGCUAGGUGAGAGUGGCGGACGGGUGAGUAACACGUGGGAAUCUGCCUUUUGGUUCGGGAUAACCGCGGGAAACUGCGGCUAAUACCGAAUGCCCUCGAGAGAGGAAAGAUUUAUCGCCAGAAGAGGAGCCCGCGUCCGAUUAGGUAGUUGGUGGGGUAAAGGCCUACCAAGCCGACGAUCGGUAGCUGGUCUGAGAGGAUGAUCAGCCACACUGGGACUGAGAUACGGCCCAGACUCCUACGGGAGGCAGCAGUGGGGAAUAUUGGACAAUGGGCGAAAGCCUGAUCCAGCAAUGCCGCGUGGAUGAAGAAGGUCUUCGGAUUGUAAAGUCCUUUCGACGGGGACGAUGAUGACGGUACCCGUAGAAGAAGCCCCGGCUAACUUCGUGCCAGCAGCCGCGGUAAU